This 1443-nucleotide long non-coding RNA is filed under the name Triticum aestivum (bread wheat). RNAcentral describes it as "long non-coding RNA (TAES_LNC000777)". Lineage: Eukaryota; Viridiplantae; Streptophyta; Magnoliopsida; Poales; Poaceae. The record is from RNAcentral.
GCAUAUAUUUGAUGCAAGCACAUAACAGUCACUUCUGAUCAUAACUUUUUAUACAUCAACACAAAAAGAAGAAAUCAGCAUGUUCAUACUUGAUCCAAUUCAUACAUUGUAGCUCAUGAGGAUAUGAAAACUAGGACUGAAAUAAUGAUCUCCAGGAUAGAUACUACUAAGACAAUGAGUAUGCUUUUCAGUAGUAUUUACAUAGUAGCAAGGGGAACUCCCAAGAUUCAAUAUCUUCACACAACUGCGUUUCCGCGGAUACAUAGUCUAGAAAUUGUUCUCAAGUGCAUUGUUUCUUGUGGUGGAUAUGACCCGCAGCUCCACAGGCUAGAAAGGAGGCGACGGACCGCCAGGGCCCGGGUGUCCGAACAGAGGACCGCAGCAAUCUUGGAGCAGGCAGCAGCAGCACAGGAGGUAGAAGCUGCAGAAGAAGUGUUCGUCCAGAGUUUCAGAUGUAUCCGUGUACAACAAAAGAGAUUCAGAGUUCAAAAUUAAACUACUAGUUGGUGCCGAAAAUAUUAUACUUGAUCCCCGAACCACUAAUCAUCUACCGAGUGAAUAGACUGAUUUCUUAGAGAUAGACUGAUUUUUUAGAAGGGAAAACAGUUGACAAUCUAACUGAUUGAACUGAUGACCUCCAUUAGUAAGCUGAGAAUUCAACUUACCAGGAUCCGAAGAACCCACCGAACUCAGGCCCCCAGAAACCAGGGCCAGGGCCACCAGGAAACCCAGGCCCACCAGGUGGAACCGGACCCCACCCUCCUGGGCCCCACCCUGCAGGGCCUCCCCAACCCGGUCCUCCUCCAGGCCCAUGCGGGUCCAUCUCGCCAAGAUAAACUUCUGAACCGGUAAGAUAAAAAGAAGAUAAACUGCUGCUGAAUGGUAAACUACAGUUUCCCAACUCAAUCAGAAGGAACCCAGACUUGAUGCAGCAGUUGGGAGUGAAGAAGUAUUUAUAGAGUUAGGGUGAGAAGUGUAGUUGUGCAUGUACCUGCCAUUCAAUAGCUCAUCCACUCGUCUAUCUUACUUUCAUUUCAACUACUGUUCUCUGCAUGCUUACUGUUGCAAUAUCACACAAACGUUUUGAGCUCUCAAGAUUGAGUUCAAUUCAAAACCACCUUUGUUUCAUAGUAUGAUCCAAUCAAUGCAUUAUAGUAAAUGUGAAGUACAACACCUGCACGGCAAAACUAAACGUCUGAAUCUACUGGACCCAUCUAGAAACAACAAAAACAAGCCAUGUUCGGAACAUUUGUAUGGAAAGCAUCUGCAACUUAUAUAUGGAAAGUACAACUUAUAAGUUCUUCACAACAACUGUCCAACAAAUUUGUGUUUCGGUAGCAACACCCAAAAAUCCAACAAGGAACAAAUUACAAAAGGGUUACAAAGGGUGAACCAUCGACGCUCAGGAGCAUUACAAAAAUUGAUGAAACAGUACACUCAUAC